CCUACGGGGGACUGCAGUGAGGAAUAUUGGUCAAUGGUCGCGAGACUGAACCAGCCAAGUAGCGUGCAGGAUGACUGCCCUAUGGGUUGUAAACUGCUUUUAUGCAGGGAUAAAGUGCGUCCCGUGUGCUUUUUUGUAGGUACUUUAUGAAUAAGGAUCGGCUAACUCCGUACCAGCAGCCGCGGUAAUACUGAGGGUCCGGGCGUUAUCCGGAUUUAUUGGGUUUAAAGGGAGCGUAGGGAGGAUGUUAAGUCUGUAGUGAAAGGUCGUGGCUCAACCAUAGCACUGCGGCGUGAACUGGCUUGCUUGAGUGCGAGGAACGUAUGCGGAAGUCGUGGUGUAGCGGUGAAAUGCUUAGAUAUCACGAAGAACUCCGAUUGCGAAGGCAGCAUACGGCAGCGCUACUGACGCUGAAGCUCGAAGGCGCGGGUAUCGAACAGGAUUAGAUACCCCGGUAGUC
Molecule: ribosomal RNA, 460 nt
Filed under: uncultured bacterium
Lineage: Bacteria
Description: partial 16S ribosomal RNA
Rfam family: Bacterial small subunit ribosomal RNA
Source: RNAcentral